Long non-coding RNA from Tachysurus fulvidraco (yellow catfish), 1118 nucleotides. RefSeq lists it as uncharacterized. The transcript is spliced from 4 exons. NCBI's taxonomy places the organism in Eukaryota, Metazoa, Chordata, Actinopteri, Siluriformes, Bagridae. The record is from RefSeq and is a predicted model, not a curated record.
AUUCCUUUAAGGUCAUGUCGUAUUCUAUGAUCUUCUUUUCUAUUCUGUCCAUAUAGAAACUAUAUUUUACUCUAUUAUCAUACAAAAUUCUAUUCUGUUCCUCGCAAAUCUAUUUAAUUCUACUCAUUUAAAGAAUGCUAUGGAAAUGCCUUCAGUGCUGGGAAGAAAGCAACUAUAAAACCCAGAUGACUGUCUCUGAACGAGGAGCUGGGGAACGGGAGCAGGCCUGACUUUGGCUGUCCUUGUGCAUGUUCAUGUCCAACUGUGGUUCAUUAGACGGCUCGUUCAGCAGACGCCGCAGUCCACUGGGAGGCAGGGGGCACUGAGAGACACCAGGCAACCCCACGACACGGUCACUCUAAACACAGAGACAGAGUGUGCCACAGCACUGAAGUUUCUCACAGCAUUGUUUAGACGAGCGACCCGGGAAGUUCCACUCCUCCACCACAACCAUCCAUUUCCCUGUUCUGGCUGAUGAGACUCUUUAAUUGGACUAUGCUGGGAGUGUGUAAAAUGCUGUUUGUUUACUCAUCAGAGCAAACAAACAAACAAACACAAGCCGACCACCAAGUGCGGCAGUGGAAAAACCGACUGAUUAUAGUAGUUUGUACAGUAGGAUAAAGAAGAAGAAGAAGAAGAAGAAGAAGAAGAAGAAGAAGAAGAAGAAGAAGAAGAAGAAAAAGAAGAAGUAACUUCCCGGUUUCCACACUGCUGUAUUCUUUUACCUCUGUACCUCUCUCUAGGUGUGAAUGUUAAUAAGGUGUUAUUCAUUUUAAUGACUCUGAUCUGAACAGGGAUUUGUAUGGUGAAUGAGAUUUUACUGUUCUUUAUUUCUAACCUAUUUUGAAGCUCCAUGACAGAGGACAGUGUAUACUAAUGAGCAGACCUUUUGACAUUGUCCAAUAUGGAACGUUUAAUGUUCAUACUUUGUGCUUGGCUGCUGUUUUAUCUCCAUUCUUUCAUAUUGCUUUAAAGACACAGGCUGUCAUGACAGGUUUUUUGAGCAAAAAAUAGUAUUUUAGGCGUGUUCGUUGCUCCAAAUAGCUGUAUGAGUACUUUAGUUAUUUCAUUUUUUUAUUUAAACCAUAGUAACCCUGACCGAGUAGUUACUGAGUAUG